UACAGAGGAUGCGAGCGUUGUUCGGAAUUAUUGGGCGUAAAGGGCGCGUAGGCGGCCAUCUAAGUCAGACGUGAAAUCCCCCGGCUUAACCUGGGAACUGCGUCUGAUACUGGAAGGCUUGAGUAUGGGAGAGGGAUGUAGAAUUCCAGGUGUAGCGGUGAAAUGCGUAGAUAUCUGGAGGAAUACCGGUGGCGAAGGCGGCAUCCUGGACCAUUACUGACGCUGAGGCGCGAAAGCUAGGGGAGCAAACGGG
Molecule: ribosomal RNA, 253 nt
Filed under: uncultured bacterium
Lineage: Bacteria
Description: partial 16S ribosomal RNA
Rfam family: Bacterial small subunit ribosomal RNA
Source: RNAcentral